Non-coding RNA from Saccostrea echinata, 129 nucleotides. RefSeq annotates it as small Cajal body-specific RNA 8. NCBI's taxonomy places the organism in Eukaryota, Metazoa, Mollusca, Bivalvia, Ostreida, Ostreidae. The record is from RefSeq and is a predicted model, not a curated record. The transcript has a single exon.
UGGAAGUGAGAUACUCAGCAAUUAUAAGGUCUGAUGUUGUUGACACUAUGCACUUCCCAUAUGAACUCUGCCCUCUGAUGACUACAAAAUACUGAGCUAGUUUUGUAGACAGAUACGGGGCAUACAGUU